Long non-coding RNA from Manis pentadactyla (Chinese pangolin), 2468 nucleotides. RefSeq lists it as uncharacterized. The record is from RefSeq and is a predicted model, not a curated record. The transcript is spliced from 4 exons. Lineage: Eukaryota; Metazoa; Chordata; Mammalia; Pholidota; Manidae.
GCAGCCAUGGUACUGGAGAUGCUCUAAUGAAGACUUUACACACUUGCCCCAGACUCCUCUUCUGGGAAUGUAUUUCUGUAUUUCUCCAAGACUCUCAGCCUCCCUAUUCAGAUCUUUUGAAAACCUCUUUCAAAGGAGGCAGACAUACCCACGUGCUAUAUUUCUUCCCAGGGAUUGGAAACAGACACCCCGGGCAGUUCUUGGGCAAGGGGUCAUUUAUGGCCCUGCUGAGGGAAGGGACUCAGUUCUGAGCCUGGGCCGUCGCGUUGCCCCGUCUCCCCGCCUGGCUCCUCCUCGGCCCCUUCUCUCUCUCAGCCCACACCAUGGUGACUCAGACUGUCUCCAGCAGAGGUGGGGCAGUGGAGUGUGUGCCAGGCUGGGGAGCAUGAGCUGCCAGUGACUGCAAGGAAGAAAAGCCUUUCUCCCAACCUGCCCUCUUCCUGGACUUGUCUUGGUUUCACCGGUUCCAGAGGGGUCCGAAGCCCUGGGCCUGGAACGCCUUUCCCCCUGGAGCUACAGUAGUUCUGACCAUAUCCCCAAUGCUCAGAGAAUAUCACUGACACACACCUCCUGACAUCCUGGCAACUUUGUGGGAAUGUGUGGUUUCAAGAUGUUUCCUUUUUCGUUUGUGCUUCAUGGCUCAGCACUUCAGAGAGUGACUUAAAAUCAGGUGCCUUCCUACCAGGAACUCUGCUGCCAGAGGUUCAAGUGAUGACAGCCAAGAAGCAGCACUUCAGAGAGUGACUUAAAAUCGGGUGCCUUCCUCCCUGGAACUCUGCUGCUAGAGGAAGAAUCAAGCCAAUUCAAGAACAAGCGACUGAAGAGGCUCUCUCCUCACUCCGUCACUCCCUCACUCACUCACUGGCCUGGCCAGUGCUUAAGUACAGCAGGAGGGCCAUUAUGAUUUCACAGGUUAUUGGUCAACAGAAAAGAAGUUGUGGCUGCACAAAACCAUCUCCAGGCUGCUUUCCUACAUGAAGACUCAGCAGUGAACAAUGCCCUCGGGUGGCAAGCAGUUCUCUGCUUUAUUUGGAGUUGAGAGCUGUCCUCCAGGGCCCCUGCCUGGAGCUGAGAACCCUUUUCUGUACAGAAGAGUGGAGAGGUGGUGAGCUGGAGAUCUGGCUGAGGAGCUGGCUGGGGCGGGGUGGGAGGGACCGAGCUCUGUUUCUGGUGAUCUCUCUGUGUCAAAGCGCCUGAAGCGUCGUGUUGGUGGCCGGCCCCAGCCAAGACUUUACAGGGCUCUUCCGGCUCUUCUGGGAGCUUGGAGGAAGGAGCAGGAGCCUCAGAUGACUUGGAGACUUAGGAGAGAAGCCUGGGCCAGGCCCAGGCAGGGCUGAGUCAGGUUGCUGUGACCGGGACAGUGGCCUUUGCCGACUGUGUGCGGUCCACACCCAGGCCUACUUGUGCAGAGCAUCUGCGCAUUCAUCCAGACACAGACAAGUCCCUCCUCCCACCGUCUCUCCACGGGUGGCUGGGUGGGCUUUCGGGCCCUGCACCUCCGUGCGGGUUUCCGCUCACCUGGGCAGGAGGAGAAUGAAGGUCUCCUUUUCAGAUCCUUAAUGUCCCUACAGGUGUAGAUUACUUUUGUGUUUGGCAGUCUGAAAAAAUAAUCUAUGUUGAGUUUUUGUGAAAUUAAUUUUAUUUCAAAACUCAGUAAUUUUGAAAUAAUUCAUUAUGUAAGUGUUUUUUUUGGUGAUGCUUUUGAUAAAAUGAAUGCCUCUUUAAUGUGAAAUAUUAGUAGCUAGCUGACCCUUUGUGUUCAUCAGAAGGAUUGCUGGCUGGGUUUGCUUCAAGGCCCACCUGUUGUAAUGACUGUCUACACUACUGGUUUUCAAACCAUGUUCCAUGAGCCUCUUCUGGGGCUGGAGUGUGGGAAGAAGGGACAGGCAGCCUUUCCCCUGCCUCCCACCCAAGCAGUUCAAUUGGUUGCACUGCUGAAAAAAAACAGUCACCAACUGCCUUUGUGAAUUUGCCCAUUUCCCAGUUUUCAGGCCUGUGAUUCCCUGCUCCGAUUCGCUCAUGUCUGGAAGGCCGGCAGUGAGACCUAAGUUGGCCAUCUCCAGUAGCUGCACAGUGAGGAAAAUGAGAGGCCAGUAUGUUUUCCAGACACACUAAGAAACGGUUGGAAUAGCGGCAAAGGAACAGAUGCUGUGGAAGUCACUCUCGGUGUCAAGUGGCAGGGGGCCUUGCAUCAGUCUUCUACUUAGGAGUCCUGCCACUCAGAAGGGCCGCUCCUCUGGCCUGGCGGUUGGUGGGUUCCCUCAGGUGGGCUCAGACUUGUCUGUCAGGGGCUGCCACAAGGUUUAGAUUUUUCCGAAGGAAGAGGUUCAUGAAAGUUGGAGAAUUUCAGUGAUAUAAGAGGGAGUUUGGAAGUAAAUGUGCCAAGAGAUUGAGGCAGAAAUAAAAAAGGAGGGUGAGAAAUGUUACCCAUCCAUCCCAGCUAUUGUGAAACUGAAUAUAGGCUUUUG